Molecule: ribosomal RNA, 401 nt
Filed under: uncultured bacterium
Lineage: Bacteria
Description: partial 16S ribosomal RNA
Rfam family: Bacterial small subunit ribosomal RNA
Source: RNAcentral
AAUAUUCCACAAUGGGCGAAAGCCUGAUGCAGCAACGCCGCGUGAGGGAUGAAUGCCUUCGGGUUNUCAACCUCUUUUAGUAGGGANGAAGCGAAAGUGACGGUACCUGCAGAAAAAGCACCGGCUAACUACGUGCCGGCAGCCGCGGUAAUACGUAGGGUGCAAGCGUUGUCCGGAAUUAUUGGGCGUAAAGCGCUCGUAGGCGGUUUGUCGCGUCAGCUGUGAAAUCCCGAGGCUCAACCUAGGGCGUGCGGUGGGUACGGGCAGGCUAGAGUGCGGUAGGGGAGAUUGGAAUUCCUGGUGUAGCGGUGGAAUGCGCAGAUAUCAGGAGGAACACCGAUGGCGAAGGCAGAUCUCUGGGCCGCUACUGACGCUGAGGAGCGAAAGCAUGGGGAGCGAAC